Molecule: long non-coding RNA, 574 nt
Organism: Pantherophis guttatus
Lineage: Eukaryota; Metazoa; Chordata; Lepidosauria; Squamata; Colubridae
Source: RefSeq, a predicted model, not a curated record
UGUUCUCAUGACUGCAUAAUAGUGAAUGAUGCCAAGAGACCAAAUGCACAGACUUCCAUUGCAAGACCAAGAAGUGACAGAGCUUGGGGCAAGUGGUCAGGCCUACCUGGAAUUUGCCCACCAGUUACAUUUCAAGAGGCUUUGAUGGAAUUACAAACGAGACCAAGAGGCUAAAAUUCAAAGAGAUUAGCUGGUGAAGGGAGAGGAAAGUCCAACUGAAUGGAUCAGAAAGUAUCAAGAGGAUCAAUCUCAUGGGUGACAGCUUAUCAAAAGCAUUACUAUUUACCAGGGAACUCCAGAAGAAAGGCUUGGCUAGUGAUGUUAAAAUUGCCCCUGUCAUAUUUUGAACAUUUUCACCAUUCUGAGUAUUGUUGUAUCAUUCUUUAUUCUAGACGUUUGAAAAUGAUUUUCUAUUCCAUAUUUUCAUUAACAUUAAUCAUAACACAGAUAUAUGGGUGAUGCCUCUUCUCACUUCUCUGUAACUGCCAGGCACCAAACUAGACAAUUAUGUAUUCUUAUUAUUCCUCUUUAGCUAAUUAUUAAUGCAUAAAUCUGAACAAGUUGUGGAUUCACA